GAGCGGGUCGUCUAGCCUGGAUAGGACAGAUGCCUCCUAAGCAUCAGAUCGAGGGUUCAAAUCCCUUCCCGCUCG
RNAcentral lists this transfer RNA (75 nucleotides) under Candidatus Iainarchaeum sp. RNAcentral's name for it is "tRNA-Arg". It matches the Rfam family "tRNA". Rfam says of the family: Transfer RNA (tRNA) molecules are approximately 80 nucleotides in length. Their secondary structure includes four short double-helical elements and three loops (D, anti-codon, and T loops). Further hydrogen bonds mediate the characteristic L-shaped molecular structure. tRNAs have two regions of fundamental functional importance: the anti-codon, which is responsible for specific mRNA codon recognition, and the 3' end, to which the tRNAs corresponding amino acid is attached (by aminoacyl-tRNA synthetases). tRNAs cope with the degeneracy of the genetic code in two manners: having more than one tRNA (with a specific anti-codon) for a particular amino acid; and 'wobble' base-pairing, i.e. permitting non-standard base-pairing at the 3rd anti-codon position. The record is from RNAcentral. Lineage: Archaea; Nanobdellati; Candidatus Iainarchaeota; Candidatus Iainarchaeia; Candidatus Iainarchaeales; Candidatus Iainarchaeaceae.